AACAGCUUUUAGGAAUAAUGUAUCUAUUACUAAGAAAGCUAAACCACCAAUUUCUGGUGAAGAAGUACUGAAACAGAUUGACGAAUUGGGGUUUAAGAGAGUUAUAGAUGAAGAUGCAUUUGAAAUAAAUUCCCGUCUAUCAAAGCAAUGCGGUUGGAGAAAAAGAAGUAUCUUCUGGGAUUUACCGUAUUGAAAAAGUAAUUUGAUUCGGCACAAUCUUGAUGUAAUGCACAUUGAGAAAAAUUUCUUUGAAAAUAUAAUCAACACUGUAAUGAGUGUUGAGGGAAAGACAAAGGAUAAUGCUAAGUCAAGGGCAGACCUAAAUGUGAUAUGCAAUCGGCCAGAGAUGGAAAUGGAUCAAGUCACUGGGAGAUAUCCAAAAGCUUGUUAUACUCUAGAUAAGCAAAGUAAGCAAGUGUUAUGUGAUUGGCUGAAAAAUCUAAAGUUUUCCGAUGGAUAUGUUUCUAAUAUGGGGCGAUGUAUUGAUAUGAAGAAGCUGAAGAUGUUUGGGAUGAAGAGUCAUGAUUGUCAUGUCUUCAUGCAGCGGAUUAUGCCAAUUGCAUUUCGUGAGUUGCUUCCGUCAAAUGUGUGGCAGCCCUUAACAGAGUUGAGUAAUUUUUUUAAGGAGUUAACAUCUACCACUAUAAGUGAGAGUGAUAUGUUGCGGUUGCAUGGUGAAAUUCCUUUAAUCAUAUGCAAGCUUGAGCGUGUUUUCCCUCCAAGCUUCUUUGAUUGUAUGGAACACCUCCCUGUCCAUCUAGCAUAUGAAGCAUGGCUGGCAGGUCCAGUGCAAUAUCGAUGGAUGUAUCCUUUUGAACGAUAUCUGCGACGGCUUAAGAAUAAUGUCAGAAAUAAAGCUAGAGUCGAAGGAUCAAUAUGUAAUGCGUACCUAGUAGAAGAAGCAACUUCAUUUUGUGCACAUUACUUUGAAUCGCAUGUCCAAACUAGACAUCGAAAAGUGCCAAGGAAUGUUGAUAUUUCAGAAAGUACUGAAAAUUAUGAAGGCAAUCUAUCAAUCUUCAUGCAGUCUGGUCGACCAAUAGGAAAAGGGACAACCAGAUAUCUUAUGGAGGAUGAGUAUAAAGCAGCACAAGUGUACAUAUUAUUAAAUUGUCCAGAAGUGAAACCCUAUAUUGAGUAAGUUAUCAUAAAUAAGUGAUUUAUAUAUUAUGUUCAAGUAAUUACCUUUUCUAAUGGAGUUGAGGUUUUUCCAGCAUUUACAUUGAUCAAUUGCGCUCAAAUGAUUCGUUGGUCAAUGAUUCUCAGAUUGACAUUAAAUUGGAGAGUGAAUUCUCUAUAUGGUUCAACAAUUUUGCUCAUGAUUCGUGCAAUAACAUAUCCAACAAGUUUAUCACAUCGCUUGCAAUGGGUCCAUUACGAAGUGUGACAUCAUACAAUGGAUAUAUGGUGAAUGGAUAUAAGUUUCAAUCGAAGUCAUACUGUGCAAGUAGAGCAACUAUGAACAGUGGGGUGUGUAUUAAGGGGUCAAAUUACAGCAGCGAAGAAAGCGAUUACUAUGGACAAUUGCUUGAAGUUAUACGUUUGGAGUAUCCAGGUCUUCCAAUCAAGCGAGUUGUACUUUUCAAAUGCAAUUGGUUUGACCCCACUCCAAAUGUAGGCACAAAGAUCCAUAGUAAAUAUAAACUUGUCGAUGUGAAUCAUAAACGAUCUUUUAAUAGAUAUGAGCCUUUUGUGCUGGGAGUACAAGCAAUACAAGUGAUAUAUACUCCGUAUCCUAGCCUAAAGCGAGAUAAAAUUGAAUGGUGGGCUGCUAUAAAAGUCAAAGCACGUUCUGUAAUUCAACUUCCAACACAAGAAAAUACACAACCUGCUGAUGAACCAUUUCAACAAGAUGAAAUGGAACACACUGCCAUAAUUAGAGAAAUUGAUGAUUCAACACAACAAUUAAAUGAUCCAACUGGGGAUGUUAUUGAAAUUGAUGAUGGUGAAGAAAAUGAUGAAGAUGAAACUAUAAUAGCAACAGAAACAGAUGAUGAUGAUGAUGAUGAUAAUGAUGACUUAGAUGUAAAUAGUGAAUAGAAGGAUGAGAGGACGAGGACGCGGAUCUUCAUCACGAGGUCGAGGAGACCAUGGCAGGGGUAGUGUCCACACAACUGAAUCAGAAAAUGUCAAUCAAGAUUUGGUACAACACACUACUUUGAUUCCUAGACCAGACCAGGGUGAGAGAUCCACACCGGGUGCUGCAUCAUCCACUCCUGCUUCAGUGCACACAUCUGCUACUGCCUCAGCUCCCAUAGGUUUGCCACCUAUUGCAUCUACGGCUACAUCUGCAUCUGCAUCUGCAUCUGCUUUUGGUAGUUGUGGACCUACAGGGCUCAGACCACAUAUUUCCUUAGUAAA
RNA transcript from Manihot esculenta (cassava), 2361 nucleotides. RefSeq lists it as uncharacterized. The record is from RefSeq and is a predicted model, not a curated record. NCBI's taxonomy places the organism in Eukaryota, Viridiplantae, Streptophyta, Magnoliopsida, Malpighiales, Euphorbiaceae. The transcript is spliced from 3 exons.